RNAcentral lists this ribosomal RNA (482 nucleotides) under uncultured bacterium. RNAcentral's name for it is "partial 16S ribosomal RNA". It matches the Rfam family "Bacterial small subunit ribosomal RNA", at positions 30 to 507 of the family's 1533-position model. The record is from RNAcentral.
AUUGAACGCUGGCGGCAUGCCUUACACAUGCAAGUCGAACGGUAACGGGCCUUCGGGUGCCGACGAGUGGCGAACGGGUGAGUAAUACAUCGGAACGUGCCCGAUCGUGGGGGAUAACGAGGCGAAAGCUUUGCUAAUACCGCAUACGAUCUACGGAUGAAAGCCGGGGACCGCAAGGCCUUGCGCGGACGGAGCGGCCGAUGGCAGAUUAGGUAGUUGGUGGGAUAAAAGCUUACCAAGCCGAAGAUCUGUAGCUGGUCUGAGAGGAUGAUCAGCCACACUGGGACUGAGACACGGCCCAGACUCCUACGGGAGGCAGCAGUGGGGAAUUUUGGACAAUGGGCGCAAGCCUGAUCCAGCCAUGCCGCGUGCAGGAUGAAGGCCUUCGGGUUGUAAACUGCUUUUGUACGGAACGAAAAGCCUUCUUUUAAUACAGGAGGGUCAUGACGGUACCGUAAGAAUAAGCACCGGCUAACUACGUG